Long non-coding RNA from Quercus robur (English oak), 344 nucleotides. RefSeq lists it as uncharacterized. NCBI's taxonomy places the organism in Eukaryota, Viridiplantae, Streptophyta, Magnoliopsida, Fagales, Fagaceae. The transcript is spliced from 3 exons. The record is from RefSeq and is a predicted model, not a curated record.
AUUAUAAUUAUUUUUUUCCCUUUUACCCUAAAUCCCCAAUCCCACGCCUCUCUCUCUCUCUCUCUCUCUCAGUCACGCCUCUCUCAGGACCAAACAUUUAAAAUAGUAGAAGCAUCACUAAGGGUUGAUGCUCGGGCUAGUGCAGGAUUUAAGAUUUCGCAAUCAAAACUUGUUGACUCGGUCAGAUACGAGAUUGGUGGCUAAAAGACAGUUUUUGUGGCGCUACUUGAACUCAAAUAAUUUUUUGUAAAGUAUGGAAGAUAACAUUUAUAUAUAAAUGGUUGUAAUUACUUUGUGAACAACUUGGUUUAAUGGUUUUAAGAGUUGAAUGGUUCUUUAUUUCC